CAAUAGCGUAUAUUAAAGUUGUUGCGGUUAAAAGCUCGUAGUUGGAUUUCUGCUUGGGGCGACCGGUCCACCCUUCGGGUGUGUAUCUGGUGUGCUUUGGGCAUCCUCCUGGAGAACGUUCCUGCACUUGACUGUGUGGUGCGGUAUCUAGGACUUUUACUUUGAGGAAAUUAGAGUGUUCACUGCAGGCAUUUCGCCUUGAAUACAUUAGCAUGGAAUAAUAAGAUAGGACCUCGGUUCUAUUUUGUCGGUUUCUAGAGCUGAGGUAAUGAUUAACAGGGAUAGUUGGGGCAUUGCGUAUUUAAUCUGUCAGAGGUGAAAUUCUUGGAUUUGUUAAAGACGAACUACUGCGAAAGCAUUUGCCAAGGAUGUUUUCAUUGAUCAAGAACGAAAGUUAGGGGAUCGAAGACGAUCAGAU
Molecule: ribosomal RNA, 418 nt
Filed under: uncultured eukaryote
Lineage: Eukaryota
Description: SSU rRNA
Rfam family: Eukaryotic small subunit ribosomal RNA
Source: RNAcentral